RNAcentral lists this ribosomal RNA (199 nucleotides) under uncultured prokaryote. Its description in RNAcentral is "partial 16S ribosomal RNA". It matches the Rfam family "Bacterial small subunit ribosomal RNA", at positions 524 to 722 of the family's 1533-position model. The record is from RNAcentral.
UACAGAGGUCCCGAGCGUUGUUCGGAUUCACUGGGCGUAAAGGGUGCGUAGGUGGUGAGAUAAGUCGGAUGUGAAAGCUCGGAGCUCAACUCCGAAAUGGCAUUGGAAACUAUCUCGCUCGAGGGUUGGAGGGGGGACUGGAAUGCUUGGUGUAGCAGUGAAAUGCGUAGAUAUCGAGCGGAACACUAGUGGCGAAGGC